CUCUUCAGAAACCACGUGCAGAGGGAAUGGCUGACACGUGGAAUGACUUGGAAAACUCCGGUGCGAACGCCUGGUCUGAAAUACUUCAUGGAUUCCAUGGAUAUACAUCGGCUCAGACGACCUUUCACCAACUUCUGUCUUCCAAGGUGGACAACGAUCUACCGUCUGGAGCCGACAUUAGGGCAAGAGACUGCCUGAGUAAAAACUUAGCAGUAAGAAUUUAUUGGUAGACAACGACGUCAAAAUAUAGACACCUCGGUCAGGGUUUUUUUUAACCCAAAGCGAUCAACCAAGGCUACCACACGAGUGUUUAUUAACAGUAACAUAAAUGUGAUCAAGGCUGCUUCACAUCACUCACUCCUAAACCGACAAAAUAAGACAGAAUCCAAAUUACGAAUGCUUUUGCCUUCUUUUCUGAUGUAAAUGAAUAAAUCAAGCAUUAUA
Long non-coding RNA from Haliotis rubra (blacklip abalone), 444 nucleotides. RefSeq lists it as uncharacterized. The record is from RefSeq and is a predicted model, not a curated record. The transcript has 2 exons. NCBI's taxonomy places the organism in Eukaryota, Metazoa, Mollusca, Gastropoda, Lepetellida, Haliotidae.